Molecule: ribosomal RNA, 2789 nt
Filed under: Escherichia coli
Lineage: Bacteria; Pseudomonadati; Pseudomonadota; Gammaproteobacteria; Enterobacterales; Enterobacteriaceae
Description: bacterial LSU rRNA
Rfam family: Bacterial large subunit ribosomal RNA
Source: RNAcentral
AGCGUACACGGUGGAUGCCCUGGCAGUCAGAGGCGAUGAAGGACGUGCUAAUCUGCGAUAAGCGUCGGUAAGGUGAUAUGAACCGUUAUAACCGGCGAUUUCCGAAUGGGGAAACCCAGUGUGUUUCGACACACUAUCAUUAACUGAAUCCAUAGGUUAAUGAGGCGAACCGGGGGAACUGAAACAUCUAAGUACCCCGAGGAAAAGAAAUCAACCGAGAUUCCCCCAGUAGCGGCGAGCGAACGGGGAGCAGCCCAGAGCCUGAAUCAGUAUGUGUGUUAGUGGAAGCGUCUGGAAAGGCGCGCGAUACAGGGUGACAGCCCCGUACACAAAAAUGCACAUGCUGUGAGCUCGAUGAGUAGGGCGGGACACGUGGUAUCCUGUCUGAAUAUGGGGGGACCAUCCUCCAAGGCUAAAUACUCCUGACUGACCGAUAGUGAACCAGUACCGUGAGGGAAAGGCGAAAAGAACCCCGGCGAGGGGAGUGAAAAAGAACCUGAAACCGUGUACGUACAAGCAGUGGGAGCACAGAGCAAUCUGUGUGACUGCGUACCUUUUGUAUAAUGGGUCAGCGACUUAUAUUCUGUAGCAAGGUUAACCGAAUAGGGGAGCCGAAGGGAAACCGAGUCUUAACUGGGCGUUAAGUUGCAGGGUAUAGACCCGAAACCCGGUGAUCUAGCCAUGGGCAGGUUGAAGGUUGGGUAACACUAACUGGAGGACCGAACCGACUAAUGUUGAAAAAUUAGCGGAUGACUUGUGGCUGGGGGUGAAAGGCCAAUCAAACCGGGAGAUAGCUGGUUCUCCCCGAAAGCUAUUUAGGUAGCGCCUCGUGAAUUCAUCUCCGGGGGUAGAGCACUGUUUCGGCAAGGGGGUCAUCCCGACUUACCAACCCGAUGCAAACUGCGAAUACCGGAGAAUGUUAUCACGGGAGACACACGGCGGGUGCUAACGUCCGUCGUGAAGAGGGAAACAACCCAGACCGCCAGCUAAGGUCCCAAAGUCAUGGUUAAGUGGGAAACGAUGUGGGAAGGCCCAGACAGCCAGGAUGUUGGCUUAGAAGCAGCCAUCAUUUAAAGAAAGCGUAAUAGCUCACUGGUCGAGUCGGCCUGCGCGGAAGAUGUAACGGGGCUAAACCAUGCACCGAAGCUGCGGCAGCGACGCUUAUGCGUUGUUGGGUAGGGGAGCGUUCUGUAAGCCUGUGAAGGUGUGCUGUGAGGUAUGCUGGAGGUAUCAGAAGUGCGAAUGCUGACAUAAGUAACGAUAAAGCGGGUGAAAAGCCCGCUCGCCGGAAGACCAAGGGUUCCUGUCCAACGUUAAUCGGGGCAGGGUGAGUCGACCCCUAAGGCGAGGCCGAAAGGCGUAGUCGAUGGGAAACAGGUUAAUAUUCCUGUACUUGGUGUUACUGCGAAGGGGGGACGGAGAAGGCUAUGUUGGCCGGGCGACGGUUGUCCCGGUUUAAGCGUGUAGGCUGGUUUUCCAGGCAAAUCCGGAAAAUCAAGGCUGAGGCGUGAUGACGAGGCACUACGGUGCUGAAGCAACAAAUGCCCUGCUUCCAGGAAAAGCCUCUAAGCAUCAGGUAACAUCAAAUCGUACCCCAAACCGACACAGGUGGUCAGGUAGAGAAUACCAAGGCGCUUGAGAGAACUCGGGUGAAGGAACUAGGCAAAAUGGUGCCGUAACUUCGGGAGAAGGCACGCUGAUAUGUAGGUGAAGCGACUUGCUCGUGGAGCUGAAAUCAGUCGAAGAUACCAGCUGGCUGCAACUGUUUAUUAAAAACACAGCACUGUGCAAACACGAAAGUGGACGUAUACGGUGUGACGCCUGCCCGGUGCCGGAAGGUUAAUUGAUGGGGUCAGCGCAAGCGAAGCUCUUGAUCGAAGCCCCGGUAAACGGCGGCCGUAACUAUAACGGUCCUAAGGUAGCGAAAUUCCUUGUCGGGUAAGUUCCGACCUGCACGAAUGGCGUAAUGAUGGCCAGGCUGUCUCCACCCGAGACUCAGUGAAAUUGAACUCGCUGUGAAGAUGCAGUGUACCCGCGGCAAGACGGAAAGACCCCGUGAACCUUUACUAUAGCUUGACACUGAACAUUGAGCCUUGAUGUGUAGGAUAGGUGGGAGGCUUUGAAGUGUGGACGCCAGUCUGCAUGGAGCCGACCUUGAAAUACCACCCUUUAAUGUUUGAUGUUCUAACGUUGACCCGUAAUCCGGGUUGCGGACAGUGUCUGGUGGGUAGUUUGACUGGGGCGGUCUCCUCCUAAAGAGUAACGGAGGAGCACGAAGGUUGGCUAAUCCUGGUCGGACAUCAGGAGGUUAGUGCAAUGGCAUAAGCCAGCUUGACUGCGAGCGUGACGGCGCGAGCAGGUGCGAAAGCAGGUCAUAGUGAUCCGGUGGUUCUGAAUGGAAGGGCCAUCGCUCAACGGAUAAAAGGUACUCCGGGGAUAACAGGCUGAUACCGCCCAAGAGUUCAUAUCGACGGCGGUGUUUGGCACCUCGAUGUCGGCUCAUCACAUCCUGGGGCUGAAGUAGGUCCCAAGGGUAUGGCUGUUCGCCAUUUAAAGUGGUACGCGAGCUGGGUUUAGAACGUCGUGAGACAGUUCGGUCCCUAUCUGCCGUGGGCGCUGGAGAACUGAGGGGGGCUGCUCCUAGUACGAGAGGACCGGAGUGGACGCAUCACUGGUGUUCGGGUUGUCAUGCCAAUGGCACUGCCCGGUAGCUAAAUGCGGAAGAGAUAAGUGCUGAAAGCAUCUAAGCACGAAACUUGCCCCGAGAUGAGUUCUCCCUGACUCCUUGA